GACGAACGCUGGCGGCGUGCUUAACACAUGCAAGUCGAACGGAAGGGCCCUGCUUUUGUGGGGUGCUCGAGUGGCGAACGGGUGAGUAACACGUGAGUAACCUGCCCUUGACUUUGGGAUAACUUCAGGAAACUGGGGCUAAUACCGGAUAGGAGCUCCUGCUGCAUGGUGGGGGUUGGAAAGUUUCGGCGGUUGGGGAUGGACUCGCGGCUUAUCAGCUUGUUGGUGGGGUAGUGGCUUACCAAGGCUUUGACGGGUAGCCGGCAUGGGAGGGUGACCGGGCACAAUAGGACUAAGGGACGGACCAGACGCGUACGGGAGGCAGCAGUGGGAAAUAUUGCACAGUGGGCGGGAGCCUGAGACGACGGCGCCGCGUGCGGGAUGACGGCUUUCGGGUUAUGAACCGCUUUCGCCUGAGACGAGGCGGGAGUGACGGUAAUGGAUAAAGAAGCACCGGCUAACUACGUG
This 468-nucleotide ribosomal RNA is filed under the name uncultured bacterium. RNAcentral's name for it is "partial 16S ribosomal RNA". It matches the Rfam family "Bacterial small subunit ribosomal RNA", at positions 28 to 507 of the family's 1533-position model. The record is from RNAcentral.